AUGCUAGCUCAAGGGAUUAUACAACCAAGCAAGAGCCCGUUCGCGUCCCCCGUGUUGUUGGUUCUCAAAAAAGAUGGAGAAUGGCGGUUCUGCGUCGAUUAUCGCCAUUUGAAUGCUAUUACCAUCAAGAGCCGGUUCCCUAUGCCAAUCAUCGAUGAGUUGUUGGAUGAGCUGACUGGAGCUGCGUGGUUCACUAGUCUUGACCUGCGUUCAGGCUACCACCAGAUUCGAAUGAGGCCAGAGGAUGAGGCCAAGACUGCCUUCCAAACACACCAUGGACACUAUGAGUUCAAAGUUAUGCCUAAUGGGGUGACUGGUGGUCCAUCUAGUUUCCAAAACGGCAUU
This 345-nucleotide ribosomal RNA is filed under the name Triticum aestivum (bread wheat). RNAcentral describes it as "partial small subunit ribosomal RNA". Lineage: Eukaryota; Viridiplantae; Streptophyta; Magnoliopsida; Poales; Poaceae. The record is from RNAcentral.